This 1586-nucleotide long non-coding RNA is filed under the name Cicer arietinum (chickpea). RNAcentral's name for it is "long non-coding RNA (CARI_LNC000385)". The record is from RNAcentral. Lineage: Eukaryota; Viridiplantae; Streptophyta; Magnoliopsida; Fabales; Fabaceae.
UCAAAUAUUUACUCUGCUUUCAAAAUCCAUGAAAUGCACACUGUUGGAAUGUUAGGACAUGAAAGCAUUGCAUACAGAUAGAAAUCAUUGUUAUAAAAAUUAUUAAAUGUAAAAAUCUUACCUUGCACAAUUAAAUGUAGUGAUUCACCAAGAAAAACCUUGUCCCAUAUUUUCCAAAAGAAGGAAUGAAGAGAGAUAAAACAUAAUUUUAGCAGUUUUGAUACCAUCCAUAUUGCAUAUCUUGUAAACAAAUUCACUUUAAUAGAACCUAAAUGACUUACAUUGAAGUGACUGAAAGCAAAUCGUCAAACUAUGUUGAAAGCAUGUCAAAGGAAAAUGAAGGACACGACAUGCUUUGAAGAAUUCAACAACAAAAAUUAACUAAUUGAUUUCUCCGGUAAAUGUUUUAAAUCUUAUUUUAUAGUUAAGACUCAAACUCUAGACAAGUGUAAUAUUCAGCAAGACUGAGAUCCUAAGGUCAUAUAAAGUCCACAAGAAAACAGAGCAAACGACUACAACCAGAACUUCACUAUAGAUGCCGCUACAGCCAUUAGUUGAUCGCUAUUGGGCCGCUACAGUUGCUAUUAAAAUACACAAUGGGGUUUUGUGUGGUGUCUAAGAGCCAUUACACAACCCAACUAUUGACUACAUAGCAUUUAAGAAUUACGGCACUAGGAUAAUCAUUUUAAAUAAAUGCUUACUCAAUAAGCGCGUUAAAACUUGUUCUAUAAGAAAUCUAAAUGUUGCCACAAUUGAAGAGAAGUAGAUAAACUCCACGUCAAUUGUUUCUACAACAAAGAGGAAACACGAAAAACUCCACAUAUUUUUAUAAGCUAUUAUAUGACAACAUCUAUAACCUCUUCCAAACAUUUACAUACGUACAUAUGUCAUGAGAUAAAGAAAAAAAACCUAUGCUAUACCAAAUUACCAAUUAGAUCAAGCAAUUACACUAGUAAUAACAUUUAAGUAGUGAAUGAUCAUCAUUUUAUAAACACAAUUUAAAUCAAAAGGUAUACUAUUAGGCAAGACCAAUAACACCAUUUUUCUCAAGAAUUUAAAUUAUAUCAAUCAUUAAUAAUUCAAAGGAAUAAGUAAGAAUACUCACAUAUUUCUUACGUCCAUAACCCUCAUCAUCAUCAUCACCACGCCUCUCCCGACGCUCAUAACCAUACUCAACACCUUCCUCACUCACAUUUUCACUCCUUCCAUAGCUAGGUUUCUCUUCAUACUCACUCCUUCCAUAGCUAGGUUUCUCUUCAUACUCACUCCUUCCAUAGCUAGGUUUCACCUCAUACUCACUCCUUCCAUAACUAGGUUUCUCUUCAUACUCACUCCUUCCAUAACUAGGUUUCUCUUCAUACUCACUCCUUCCAUAACUAGGUCUCUCUUCCUCCCCAUAAUCACUCUUCUUCCUCCCACCAUACCCCGAUCCAUACUCCGAUUCCUCACUCUUCUUCCUCCCAUACCCUUCAUUCUCUUCCUCAUUCCUCCUUCCAUAUCCACCUCCAUAUUCCGAACUUUCAUUCUUCCUCCCACCACCAUACCCCGAUCCAUACUCAGUUUCCUCCUUCCUGCCACCACCAUAU